UACGAGGUAGCAAUAUUUCGUAGUUGGAGCGGCGCAAGGGUGCGUAACACGUGGGUAAUCUGCCGUGAAGUCUGGAAUAACUUGCUGAAAGGCGAGCUAAUACCGGAUGUGAAAAUUGGAGGGCAUCUUCUGAUUUUCAAAGUUGGGGACCGUAAGGCCUGACGAUUCACGAUGAGCCCGCGGCCUAUCAGCUAGUUGGUGAGGUAACGGCUCACCAAGGCUAAGACGGGUAGCUGGUCUGAGAGGACGACCAGCCACACUGGAACUGAGACACGGUCCAGACACCUACGGGUGGCAGCAGUCGAGAAUUUUUCACAAUGGGCGAAAGCCUGAUGGAGCGACGCCGCGUGGGGGAUGAAUGGCUUCGGCCCGUAAACCCCUGUCAUUCGCGAACAAUGCCUGCGUGCUAACACCACGCAGGUUGAUAGUAGCGGAAGAGGAAGGGACGGCUAACUCUGUGCCAGCAGCCGCGGUAAUACAGAGGUCCCAAGCGUUGUUCGGAUUCACUGGGCGUAAAGGGUGCGUAGGUGGUCGGGUAAGUCUGAUGUGAAAUCUCGGAGCUCAACUCCGAAACGGCAUUGGAUACUAUUCGGCUUGAGGGUUGGAGGGGGGACUGGAAUUCACGGUGUAGCA
Molecule: ribosomal RNA, 633 nt
Filed under: uncultured Verrucomicrobiota bacterium
Lineage: Bacteria; Pseudomonadati; Verrucomicrobiota
Description: bacterial SSU rRNA
Rfam family: Bacterial small subunit ribosomal RNA
Source: RNAcentral